This 506-nucleotide ribosomal RNA is filed under the name uncultured bacterium. RNAcentral's name for it is "partial 16S ribosomal RNA". It matches the Rfam family "Bacterial small subunit ribosomal RNA", at positions 29 to 523 of the family's 1533-position model. The record is from RNAcentral.
AGUGAACGCUGGCGGUAGGCCUAACACAUGCAAGUCGAACGGCAGCACAGGAGAGCUUGCUCUCUGGGUGGCGAGUGGCGGACGGGUGAGGAAUACAUCGGAAUCUACUCUGUCGUGGGGGAUAACGUAGGGAAACUUACGCUAAUACCGCAUAUGACCUACGGGUGAAAGCAGGGGACCUUCGGGCCUUGCGCGAUUGAAUGAGCCUAUGUCGGAUUAGCUAGUUGGCGGGGUAAAGGGCCACCAAGGCGACGAUCCGUAGCUGGUCUGAGAGGAUGAUCAGCCACACUGGAACUGAGACACGGUCCAGACUCCUACGGGAGGCAGCAGUGGGGAAUAUUGGACAAUGGGCGCAAGCCUGAUCCAGCCAUACCGCGUGGGUGAAGAAGGCCUUCGGGUUGUAAAGCCCUUUUGUUGGGAAAGAAAUCCAGCUGGCUAAUACCCGGUUGGGAUGACGGUACCCAAAGAAUAAGCACCGGCUAACUUCGUGCCAGCCGCCGCGGUAA